GACAGAGGUGCCAAGCGUUAGGCGGAAUCACUGGGCUUAAAGCGUGUGUAGGCGGAUUGGUAAGUACCUUGUGAAAUCCCACGGCUUAACCGUGGAACUGCUUGGUAUACUGCUUAUCUUGGGCCACUUAGGGGUUACCGGAACAAACGGUGGAGCGGUGAAAUGCGUAGAUAUCGUUUGGAACGCCAAUGGUGAAAACAGGUAACUGGGAGUGUGCCGACGCUGAGACACGAAAGCCAGGGGAGCGAACGGG
Molecule: ribosomal RNA, 253 nt
Filed under: uncultured bacterium
Lineage: Bacteria
Description: partial 16S ribosomal RNA
Rfam family: Bacterial small subunit ribosomal RNA
Source: RNAcentral